RNAcentral lists this unclassified non-coding RNA (293 nucleotides) under Hevea brasiliensis (rubber tree). The record is from RNAcentral. Lineage: Eukaryota; Viridiplantae; Streptophyta; Magnoliopsida; Malpighiales; Euphorbiaceae.
AUAAUGUCUCCAGAUCUUUAAUGCAAAAACUACAGCUGCUAUCUCCAGAUCAUAAGUAGGAUAGUUUUGCUCGUGCCUCUUUAAUUACCUUGAAGCAGCCACUACUUUACCGUGCUAUAUUAAAACACACCCCAACCAACUCUGGAAGCAUCACAAUACACUUUAUACCCUUCUCCGCUCACCGGCAAGGUCAACACUGGAGCUGUGGUUAAACAUUCCUUAAGCUUUUGAAAGUUCUCCUUACACUCGUCUGACCAGACAAACAGGACAUUCUUUCGAGUCAACCAGGUUAG